UGGGUAGAAGUCCUAUCUUGCACAUAGGAGAGUGAAGGCAAAACAAAACUUCCUACCUAA
This 60-nucleotide transfer RNA is filed under the name Laemobothrion atrum. RNAcentral describes it as "tRNA-Ala". The record is from RNAcentral. Lineage: Eukaryota; Metazoa; Arthropoda; Insecta; Psocodea; Laemobothriidae.